UUCUUUUUUCUUCUUUUUCCUUGCUUUUUUUUUGUGUUUUUCAUUUCCAUUUCUUUUCUUGCACUUCAAAUCUUUGUUUUUUUUUUCCUUUUUUCUUUUUUUUCCUUGUUUUUCAUUUUUUUCUUUUCUUUACUCUUUUCAAGCUACACAAGUGUUUGCAGAUGCAAUGAAAGUUUCGUUUCUUGUCUUUCUAUCUUUUUUUUUUUAACAAAAGAACAAAUUUCUUACAAUAAUACAAAUCAAGUUUUUUUUUUGGAUAAACAAAUAAAGAAUGCUAGAUGCAUUCCUUACCCUUUUGUUUAUCACUAUUUAAUUUUUUUAAUGUAAAGGUGAAAAAAGAAAAGGUAAAAUUUGUCCUAUAACUUGUGUUCUUGCUCUUAAAUUUGCCUCUAGUAUCAAACUAACAAAUAAAUAGAGUGAAAAAAAUAUCAAAGAAAAAAUAAAAUGAUCAACUAGUGCGUAUUACGUUGAAAUCCUAAACAUCCAAGCAAGGCAUUAAUUUGAAAGCACCAAGACUAAAAUAACAUUUACUGCUCAUUGCUUCCAAGAGUUCAUGGUUGUCUAUACAAAUCAACAAAAUACAAAAUCUAUGCCCCUAAAAUAGAUU
RNAcentral lists this long non-coding RNA (607 nucleotides) under Coffea arabica (coffee). Its description in RNAcentral is "long non-coding RNA (CARA_LNC000650)". The record is from RNAcentral. Lineage: Eukaryota; Viridiplantae; Streptophyta; Magnoliopsida; Gentianales; Rubiaceae.